Lolium perenne is the source of this 1131-nucleotide long non-coding RNA. RefSeq lists it as uncharacterized. Lineage: Eukaryota; Viridiplantae; Streptophyta; Magnoliopsida; Poales; Poaceae. The record is from RefSeq and is a predicted model, not a curated record.
ACCGGUGGAGAUGGAGCCGGGCCGAAAGGUUUCGCGGCGGCCAAUCCGUUGAGGAGUGGCGUCCCUUCCCUGGUGCCGUGCGGUCCGGUCUUGGCGACGCCAACUCCACGCAGCUCGCCGGAAUCGGCGGAGAUGGAGCGGGGGCGGGUACAAAAUAAAGAUAAAGUGGGGGAUCCAGGGGAGUUCGCGGCGGCCGACGAGAAGGAUGCACGAGCCUCGCGGGAGUGGGUGCGACGGAGGCAUCGGCGUUUGCGAGGCACGCCCUGCCGCGGGUGAUGUGGUCGCGGCGACCGUACCAGUUCGUGUCUGGAAGUAUAACUGUUGGUUGCCCGAGACUCAUCGCCAUCGUAGGUGCGCAACGCCUUGCCAUCCUGUGAGGCUGUGACCCCGGUAGCUGAGACCGUCAUCCUCAUGGCGCAGAAGUUCAACACGACUGUAAUGGUGGUGUGCCAGAGGUCUGGCUGUGCUGUCUCGCCUCACCGACAUGCUACUGCCGCUAUUUGCCGACGCCAGUGAGCAGCGGCAACACCAACAUAGAUGAUGUCCAGCAGAUAUGCGACGAUUGCCACCAACGGGUAAGGUAAGGAAUUCCAUAAUCAGCAAAGUAUUGUUAGUUAUUACCACUGUCUGAAACUUUCCAUGGGAGGUUGCAUAUUUUACUCUGGUGCCCAUUCCCAGGUGUUCUAAUGUGUUCUUAACAUCUGCUGGCGCUAACUGAUUUUAUUUUGGACUUGAUUUGUAUUCUAGGACGAUGCACCUUCGAUAUGAAAUCAGUUCAUAUAUAUUUUGAUGAGGAGUUUCUAUCUUUGACGAGUUUAAUACAUUUAUCUGAAUCUGUUACAGCGGGCUUUGCACCGCAAAGUAGUUUAUUUAAUAGGCUCUUUUCAGAUUAAUUAUUGUAAAGAGUGGUCGGAUUCAGCAUGGAGUAGUAGGGUGGUUCUUCAGUGCUUUUGAUUGAUACCAUUGUUCUUUCCACCCAUUGUUGAUUUUCAGUUCCAGUCACGAAUUGAGUAGCCGGACUACUGAUAAUUGUGGUUGAUGUACGUAUAUGCAGAGUUCUGAAUUCAUGUAUUAAUUGUACAACAGGCCUGUGAAGAUGCACACAUUUAUUGUGAAUUCUUUUUUUUCGUC